GGGUUGUGAGGUUAAGCGACUAAGCGUACACGGUGGAUGCCCUGGCAGUCAGAGGCGAUGAAGGACGUGCUAAUCUGCGAAAAGCGUCGGUAAGGUGAUAUGAACCGUUACAGCCGGCGAUGUCCGAAUGGGGAAACCCAGUGUGAUUCGUCACACUAUCGUUAACUGAAUACAUAGGUUAACGAGGCGAACCGGGGGAACUGAAACAUCUAAGUACCCCGAGGAAAAGAAAUCAACCGAGAUUCCCCCAGUAGCGGCGAGCGAACGGGGAGCAGCCCAGAGUCUGAAUCAGCUUGUGUGUUAGUGGAACGGUCUGGAAAGUCCGACGGUACAGGGUGAUAGUCCCGUACACCAAAAUGCACAGGCUGUGAACUCGAAGAGUAGGGCGGGACACGUGGUAUCCUGUCUGAAUAUGGGGGGACCAUCCUCCAAGGCUAAAUACUCCUGACUGACCGAUAGUGAACCAGUACCGUGAGGGAAAGGCGAAAAGAACCCCGGCGAGGGGAGUGAAAAAGAACCUGAAACCGUGUACGUACAAGCAGUGGGAGCACCUUCGGGUGUGACUGCGUACCUUUUGUAUAAUGGGUCAGCGACUUAUAUUCUGUAGCAAGGUUAACCGUAUAGGGGAGCCGCAGGGAAACCGAGUCUUAACUGGGCGUUAAGUUGCAGGGUAUAGACCCGAAACCCGGUGAUCUAGCCAUGGGCAGGUUGAAGGUUGGGUAACACUAACUGGAGGACCGAACCGACUAAUGUUGAAAAAUUAGCGGAUGACUUGUGGCUGGGGGUGAAAGGCCAAUCAAACCGGGAGAUAGCUGGUUCUCCCCGAAAGCUAUUUAGGUAGCGCCUCGUGAACUCAUCUUCGGGGGUAGAGCACUGUUUCGGCUAGGGGGUCAUCCCGACUUACCAACCCGAUGCAAACUACGAAUACCGAAGAAUGUUAUCACGGGAGACACACGGCGGGUGCUAACGUCCGUCGUGAAGAGGGAAACAACCCAGACCGCCAGCUAAGGUCCCAAAGUCAUGGUUAAGUGGGAAACGAUGUGGGAAGGCACAGACAGCCAGGAUGUUGGCUUAGAAGCAGCCAUCAUUUAAAGAAAGCGUAAUAGCUCACUGGUCGAGUCGGCCUGCGCGGAAGAUGUAACGGGGCUAAACCAUGCACCGAAGCUGCGGCAGCGACACUAUGUGUUGUUGGGUAGGGGAGCGUUCUGUAAGCCUGCGAAGGUGUGCUGUGAGGCAUGCUGGAGGUAUCAGAAGUGCGAAUGCUGACAUAAGUAACGAUAAAGCGGGUGAAAAGCCCGCUCGCCGGAAGACCAAGGGUUCCUGUCCAACGUUAAUCGGGGCAGGGUGAGUCGACCCCUAAGGCGAGGCCGAAAGGCGUAGUCGAUGGGAAACAGGUUAAUAUUCCUGUACUUGGUGUUACUGCGAAGGGGGGACGGAGAAGGCUAUGUUAGCCGGGCGACGGUUGUCCCGGUUUAAGCAUGUAGGCUGGUUAUCCAGGCAAAUCCGGAUAAUCAAGGCUGAGGUGUGAUGACGAGGCACUACGGUGCUGAAGUAACAAAUGCCCUGCUUCCAGGAAAAGCCUCUAAGCAUCAGGUAACAUCAAAUCGUACCCCAAACCGACACAGGUGGUCAGGUAGAGAAUACCAAGGCGCUUGAGAGAACUCGGGUGAAGGAACUAGGCAAAAUGGUGCCGUAACUUCGGGAGAAGGCACGCUGGUGUGUAGGUGAAGCCCCUGCGGGUGGAGCUGAGACCAGUCGAAGAUACCAGCUGGCUGCAACUGUUUAUUAAAAACACAGCACUGUGCAAACACGAAAGUGGACGUAUACGGUGUGACGCCUGCCCGGUGCCGGAAGGUUAAUUGAUGGGGUUAUCCGUAAGGAGAAGCUCUUGAUCGAAGCCCCGGUAAACGGCGGCCGUAACUAUAACGGUCCUAAGGUAGCGAAAUUCCUUGUCGGGUAAGUUCCGACCUGCACGAAUGGCGUAAUGAUGGCCAGGCUGUCUCCACCCGAGACUCAGUGAAAUUGAACUCGCUGUGAAGAUGCAGUGUACCCGCGGCAAGACGGAAAGACCCCGUGAACCUUUACUAUAGCUUGACACUGAACAUUGAGCCUUGAUGUGUAGGAUAGGUGGGAGGCUUUGAAGCGUGGACGCCAGUCUGCGUGGAGCCAACCUUGAAAUACCACCCUUUAAUGUUUGAUGUUCUAACGUUGGCCCCUUACCGGGGUUGCGGACAGUGUCUGGUGGGUAGUUUGACUGGGGCGGUCUCCUCCCAAAGCGUAACGGAGGAGCACGAAGGUUAGCUAAUCCUGGUCGGACAUCAGGAGGUUAGUGCAAUGGCAUAAGCUAGCUUGACUGCGAGCGUGACGGCGCGAGCAGGUGCGAAAGCAGGUCAUAGUGAUCCGGUGGUUCUGAAUGGAAGGGCCAUCGCUCAACGGAUAAAAGGUACUCCGGGGAUAACAGGCUGAUACCGCCCAAGAGUUCAUAUCGACGGCGGUGUUUGGCACCUCGAUGUCGGCUCAUCACAUCCUGGGGCUGAAGUAGGUCCCAAGGGUAUGGCUGUUCGCCAUUUAAAGUGGUACGCGAGCUGGGUUUAGAACGUCGUGAGACAGUUCGGUCCCUAUCUGCCGUGGGCGCUGGAGAAUUGAGGGGGGCUGCUCCUAGUACGAGAGGACCGGAGUGGACGCAUCACUGGUGUUCGGGUUGUCAUGCCAAUGGCACUGCCCGGUAGCUAAAUGCGGAAGAGAUAAGUGCUGAAAGCAUCUAAGCACGAAACUUGCCCCGAGAUGAGUUCUCCCUGAGACUUUAAGUCUCCUGAAGGAACGUUGAAGACGACGACGUUGAUAGGCCGGGUGUGUAAGCGCAGCGAUGCGUUGAGCUAACCGGUACUAAUGAACCGUGAGGCUUAACCUUACAACGCCGAAG
This 2923-nucleotide ribosomal RNA is filed under the name Klebsiella pneumoniae. Its description in RNAcentral is "bacterial LSU rRNA". It matches the Rfam family "Bacterial large subunit ribosomal RNA". Lineage: Bacteria; Pseudomonadati; Pseudomonadota; Gammaproteobacteria; Enterobacterales; Enterobacteriaceae. The record is from RNAcentral.